UACAGAGGUCUCAAGCGUUGUUCGGAUUCAUUGGGCGUAAAGGGUGCGUAGGCUGUGAGGUAAGUCUGGUGUGAAAUCCCGGGGCUCAACCCCGGAACUGCACUGGAUACUGCUUACUAGAGCACUGGAGAGGGAACUGGAAUUUACGGUGUAGCAGUGAAAUGCGUAGAUAUCGGGAGGAACACCAGUGGCGAAGGCGGCCACCUGGACGGACACUGACGCUGAGACGCGAAAGCGUGGGGAGCAAACAGG
This 252-nucleotide ribosomal RNA is filed under the name uncultured bacterium. Its description in RNAcentral is "partial 16S ribosomal RNA". It matches the Rfam family "Bacterial small subunit ribosomal RNA", at positions 524 to 776 of the family's 1533-position model. The record is from RNAcentral.